RNAcentral lists this ribosomal RNA (465 nucleotides) under uncultured bacterium. Its description in RNAcentral is "partial 16S ribosomal RNA". It matches the Rfam family "Bacterial small subunit ribosomal RNA", at positions 28 to 507 of the family's 1533-position model. The record is from RNAcentral.
GACGAACGCUGGCGGCGUGCUUAACACAUGCAAGUCGAACGGAAAGGCCCCUUUGGGGGUACUCGAGUGGCGAACGGGUGAGUAACACGUGAGUAACCUGCCCUUGACUUCGGGAUAACUUCAGGAAACUGGGGCUAAUACCGGAUAGGAAUCCUUGCUGCAUGGUGGGGGUUGGAAAGCUUCGGCGGUUUUGGAUGGACUCGCGGCUUAUCAGCUUGUUGGUGGGGUAGUGGCUUACCAAGGCUUUGACGGGUAGCCGGCCUGAGAGGGCGACCGGCCACAUUGGGAAUGAGAUACGGCCCAGACUCCUACGGGAGGCAGCAGUGGGGAAUAUUGCACAAUGGGCGGAAGCCUGAUGCAGCAACGCCGCGGGCGGGAUGACGGCCUUCGGGUUGUAAACCGCUUUCAGCAGGGGCGAAGCUGGUGGUGACGGUACCUGCAGAAGAAGCACCGGCUAACUACGUG